Molecule: ribosomal RNA, 497 nt
Filed under: uncultured bacterium
Lineage: Bacteria
Description: partial 16S ribosomal RNA
Rfam family: Bacterial small subunit ribosomal RNA
Source: RNAcentral
GACGAACGCUGGCGGCGUGCCUAAUACAUGCAAGUUGAGCGCUGAAGGUUGGUACUUGUACCAACUGGAUGAGCAGCGAACGGGUGAGUAACGCGUGGGGAAUCUGCCUUUGAGCGGGGGACAACAUUUGGAAACGAAUGCUAAUACCGCAUAAAAACUUUAAACACAAGUUUUAAGUUUGAAAGAUGCAAUUGCAUCACUCAAAGAUGAUCCCGCGUUGUAUUAGCUAGUUGGUGAGGUAAAGGCUCACCAAGGCGAUGAUACAUAGCCGACCUGAGAGGGUGAUCGGCCACAUUGGGACUGAGACACGGCCCAAACUCCUACGGGAGGCAGCAGUAGGGAAUCUUCGGCAAUGGACGAAAGUCUGACCGAGCAACGCCGCGUGAGUGAAGAAGGGUUUCGGAUCGUAAAAAUCGGUUGGUAGAGAAGAACGUUGGUGAGAGUGGAAAGCUCAUCAAGUGACGGUAACUACCCAGAAAGGGACGGCUAACUACGUG